AGUGAACGCUGGCGGUAGGCCUAACACAUGCAAGUCGAACGGCAGCACAGUAAGAGCUUGCUCUUACGGUUGGCGAGUGGCGGACGGGUGAGGAAUACAUCGGAAUCUACUUUUUCGUGGGGGAUAACGUAGGGAAACUUACGCUAAUACCGCAUACGUCCUACGGGUGAAAGCAGGGGAUCUUCGGACCUUGCGCGAUUGAAUGAGCCGAUGUCGGAUUAGCUAGUUGGCGGGGUAAAGGCCCACCAAGGCAACGAUCCGUAGCUGGUCUGAGAGGAUGAUCAGCCACACUGGAACUGAGACACGGUCCAGACUCCUACGGGAGGCAGCAGUGGGGAAUAUUGGACAAUGGGCGAAAGCCUGAUCCAGCCAUACCGCGUGAGUGAAGAAGGCCUUCGGGUUGUAAAGCCCUUUUGUUGGGAAAGAAAAGCAGCAGGUUAAUCCCCCGCUGUUCUGACGGUACCCAAAGAAUAAGCACCGGCUAACUUCGUG
This 492-nucleotide ribosomal RNA is filed under the name uncultured bacterium. Its description in RNAcentral is "partial 16S ribosomal RNA". It matches the Rfam family "Bacterial small subunit ribosomal RNA", at positions 29 to 507 of the family's 1533-position model. The record is from RNAcentral.